CACACACACACACACACACAGACUGUACAUCCUGCAUGCCAUAAUAUUUCACAAGUAAUUCCUUAUUAAAUACCUUCUUAUCACCUCAAAAUUUACAAAGUACACACGUAAUGCUGUGUGUGUGUGUGUUUGUGAGUGUGUGUGUGUGUGUGAGUGUGUGUGUGUGUGUGUGUGUGUGUGUGUGUGUGUGUGUAUUGUGUCAACAAGCUGCUUACAGAUACAAACCAGUUCCAGAAUUAGAAUUUGAAAAUGAAGUAGAAUUUUUCCUGUAGAUGUGUUACACACACACACACACACACACACACACACACACUAACACACACACACACACCACCACCACCACCAACAGCAACAACUGAUGUCAUGUUCAGGAACAGAGUUACAUGCGUAACCCAGAUGUUUAAGGAAGGAGUCUCCAGUGUCAGCACUGUGUAACAGUCAGAGGACAAGGGCCGGUUCUGGAUAAGCGGAUUAGUCAGUGAGUGUGUGUUGGUGUGGAGGAGAACCUGUGGUUACUAUGAGAACAGAUUGUGGUUUGUGUGUGUGUGUCACAGAGAGAAUAAUGAACGAGCUCGGAGCAUAAAGUUGGGCAGAAAUUUCUUCUCACACAUCACUCGAGGAAAUUUCCUGAACGGCACCCCAUAGAAGAGCGUCGACUGAACAUGGACUUUAUUUUCUGCACUCGAGUCUCCAUCAGUGAACAGAGGAGAAGAACACGAAACAGACUUCAUGUAGAAACUGUAAUGAAUUUCC
Ictalurus punctatus (channel catfish) is the source of this 753-nucleotide long non-coding RNA. RefSeq lists it as uncharacterized. The record is from RefSeq and is a predicted model, not a curated record. The transcript has 4 exons. Lineage: Eukaryota; Metazoa; Chordata; Actinopteri; Siluriformes; Ictaluridae.